This 393-nucleotide ribosomal RNA is filed under the name uncultured bacterium. Its description in RNAcentral is "partial 16S ribosomal RNA". It matches the Rfam family "Bacterial small subunit ribosomal RNA", at positions 523 to 918 of the family's 1533-position model. The record is from RNAcentral.
AUACGGAGGAUCCGAGCGUUAUCCGGAUUUAUUGGGUUUAAAGGGAGCGUAGGCGGACGCUUAAGUCAGUUGUGAAAGUUUGCGGCUCAACCGUAAAAUUGCAGUUGAUACUGGGUGUCUUGAGUACAGUAGAGGCAGGCGGAAUUCGUGGUGUAGCGGUGAAAUGCUUAGAUAUCACGAAGAACCCCGAUUGCGAAGGCAGACUGCUGGACUGUAACUGACGCUGAUGCUCGAAAGUGUGGGUAUCAAACAGGAUUAGAUACCCUGGUAGUCCACACAGUAAACGAUGAAUACUCGCUGUUUGCGAUAUACAGUAAGCGGCCAAGCGAAAGCGUUAAGUAUUCCACCUGGGGAGUACGCCGGCAACGGUGAAACUCAAAUGAAUUGACGGGG